RNAcentral lists this ribosomal RNA (446 nucleotides) under uncultured prokaryote. RNAcentral describes it as "bacterial SSU rRNA". It matches the Rfam family "Bacterial small subunit ribosomal RNA", at positions 355 to 795 of the family's 1533-position model. The record is from RNAcentral.
UGGGGAAUCAUGGUCAAUGGGCGAAAGCAUGAACCUGCGACGCCGCGUGAGUGAUGAAGGUCGUAGGAUCGUAAAACUCUUUUCAGGGAUCUUAAAGCCUGUCUGUCAACAACAGGCAGGUAUGACUCUCCCUGGAAGAAGCCCCAGCCAACUACGUGACAGCAGAUGCGGUAAUACGUAGGGGGCGAGCGUUAUUCGGAAUUAAUGGGAGUAAAGGGUAUGGAGGAGGCCCUUCAAGUCGCGUGUCAAAGUCCAGUGCGCAUCGCUGGGUGUGCAAGCGAUACUGACGGGCUUGAGGGCUUGAGAGUUUAGCGGACAUCCCGGUGGAGUGGUAAAAUACGUAGAGAUCGGGAGGAACACCAGCGGCGCAGGCGGCUCACUAGACAGUUUCUGACGCUAAGAUACGAAAGCGUGGGGAGCAAACACGAUUAGCUACCCUAGUAGGC